Long non-coding RNA from Gossypium arboreum, 581 nucleotides. RefSeq lists it as uncharacterized. NCBI's taxonomy places the organism in Eukaryota, Viridiplantae, Streptophyta, Magnoliopsida, Malvales, Malvaceae. The record is from RefSeq and is a predicted model, not a curated record. The transcript has 2 exons.
GGAAACUUUCAUGGCAUCUGAGCUAGGUUAAAUCUCUAGUAACAUCAUGGUUAAACCUUGGUGCGAAUUGCAAAAAAUAUUGGCACACUCGAGAAACGUGUUAGAAGUUCCAUGGGAAAUUGACAAAUGGAAGGAAAAAAAGUGGCAAUGAUCGUGGUUCACAAUCAGGGGAUAGCAGAGCUUUCGAAAUAACUAAAGGAAAUUAUGAGGGCCAAAGUUCUUUGGAAGGGUCUCCAUUCACUGAGGAACAAUUAGAGCAUCUACACAAGUUUUUUCAAUCACCACAAUUUCGGAUGAAUUCUUCUAUUCCUAACUCAUCCAAUAAUCCUUCUUCCUCUUUUGCCCAAUCAGUUUCAGGACAUGGUCUAGGGGAGGAUGAUUGGCAAUGAUAAAGAAUUUGGUGGAAUUUACUAUCUUGAAGAUGACCAUCUAAGUCAACCAACAACUACUUUAUGUUUAAAUUCUGUUUCUGAUUUUGAUAAGGUUAUGAUUUGGCAUUAUAGGCUCGGACAUCCUAAUUUUUACUAUUUAAGAUAUUUGUUACCUAAUCUAUUUAAAAAUAAAAGUCAUUCUUCAUAUCA